Glycine soja is the source of this 2025-nucleotide long non-coding RNA. RefSeq lists it as uncharacterized. Lineage: Eukaryota; Viridiplantae; Streptophyta; Magnoliopsida; Fabales; Fabaceae. The transcript has 3 exons. The record is from RefSeq and is a predicted model, not a curated record.
UGCCGCACCUUCACUAUCAUCUUCUACACCGUUGGUUGAUGGUGUUGUUAGAAUCAUAUAUAUUAAGUUCCUCUCUUUUUCUUUUCUCUUGUAUCUCUUGUCUUUUCUGUCUUCCAUUCUCUAAGGCAAGUUCUAAAUCAAUACUUCAUUUCACUUUCAAGUUUCAAAUUUCUCCCUUUCUUCCACCAAAUCUCAUCCUUCUCUUUUCCACCACUCACAUCCUCGCAAGCCAUUCGAAACUUGUUGAAGGUAACACAAAAACCGACAGGGUUUGACCCGCAUAGAACAAAGUAGAGUUUGCAUGUCCCUAAUUGAGCAAAAAUGAUUGAUUCGGUUCUUGAAAUAUGUUCUAUGUCUGAGUAAUGGAAAUACAGCCUACAUAGUAUUUAACUACUAUGUUUACUUAACGGAUGAACAACUUAUCACUGCUGCUUCAAGGAAGCAUAACGAAAUGGGUAAUAACAAUUCAGCUGCCAGAAUAUACUGGAAUGAUUAUCUGAUGAAUCAGAUUCUGGUGAUCAUAUUUAUGUCCUGCAAUGUCGCAGACCUUGCAGCUGCCUUGCUCAUUUGCAAAACCUAGAAUAAAGCUUGUCGUGGCCCAUUUCUUUGGACUUGCCUCAACUUCUUUGGAAAAACAAACACAUUUUCCAUUUCAAUUUUGUCAUCCAGAUGUGUAAAAGCAAAGGAAUGGUACGACGUUAGCUUGUACCAUUUGUUAGCGUGAUUACAUUGUUGAUAAAUUUCUGUCUUUUUGGAUAUUAUGCCAGGAUUUUUAUCCUUAUUGCCUAUAACAACUGUUCAAGCUAGUCAAAUAGAAAGUGCUCUUGUGAAUGUCCAUAAGCAAUGUGUGACAAAACUAGCAAACAUGAAAGUGCAAGGAAGACUCCAAUUGUUGAUCAUAAUUUUGCCUGAUGUCAAGGGGUCUUAUGGUGUGUGUAUGUCUUCAAUUUCAUGUUCACACUAAAACUAAUUUGAUUUUAUUAUCUUAAAUCUGUCUUGUUCUGACAGGGAAAAUAAAGUGCAUAUGUGAAACUGAACUAGAAAUAGUCUCAUUGUUAUCAGCGAGACAAGUUGCAAAAGAUGAACAUGCAAUAUGGAAAAUAAAGUGCAUAUGUGCUAUUUUAUCAUCUUAAAUUUCAAGAUAUUGCAUAAUCGUCUUUCCAACUUGUCUUGGCAGACAAUACUGAGAAACUAUUCCUAGGUCAGUUUCACAUAUGCGUUUAUUAAUUUCCUGUCAGAACUAGAAAUAUUUAAGAUGAUAAAAUCAAAUUAUUGUUUUAGUUUGAACAUGCAAGACACUCACCAUAAGACCCCUUGACAUCAGGCAAAAUUCUGAUCAAUAAUUGGAGUCUUCCUUGCACAUCCAUGUUUGCUAGGUUUGUCACCCACUGCUUAUGCACAUUCACAAGAGCACUCUCUAUUUGACUUGUUAUAGGCAGUAAUGGAUCUGGAUAAAACUCCUGGCAUAAAAUCCAAACAGGUAAAGAAAUUUAUCAACAAUGUAGCCAUAUGAUAAUCACACUAACAAAUGGUACAAGCUAACAUCGUACCAUUCCUUUGCGUUUACACAUAUCUGCCAAAGGAUGACAAAAUUAAAAUAGCAAAUCUCUGUUUGUUCUUCCAGAGAAGUUGAGGCAAGCCCGAUGAAAUGAUUCAUGACAAGCUUUAUUCCAGGUUUUGAAAAUGAGCGAGACAGUCAAAGAUUAGUUUGUAACCAGGGAAGAAUAAUGUAUUAAUAUCUCCUCAGACAGUCAAAUAUUUCAUAGAAAUUAUAGUAUUAGUCUGUUAAUCAUAAUUAAGCUUAUGUACUAGAAAAAAAUACAUUAGUGAUGAAGCACCUUACUUGUAAUUUUGAAAAUUUUCGUUACUAAAAUUUUGAAAAUUUUAGGAUAGAUGUAGGGUCUGGACAUAAAACCUUUUUAUAGAAGAAUCCAUGGAUUACUGGUGGUGUUUUGAGCUAGAGAUUUACCAGGUUUUGUUUUAAUUAUCAAAUAAGAAGAAUGCAUUUGUGUCUGAUCGAGUUAG